GUGCCAGCAGCCGCGGUAAUACGUAGGUGGCAAGCGUUGUCCGGAAUUAUUGGGCGUAAAGCGCGCGCAGGUGGUCUCUUAAGUCUGAUGUGAAAGCCCCCGGCUCAACCGGGGAGGGUCAUUGGAAACUGGGAGACUUGAGUCGGCAGGAGAGAAGAGUGGAAUUCCACGUGUAGCGGUGAAAUGCGUAGAGAUGUGGAGGAACACCAGUGGCGAAGGCGACUCUUUGGCCUGUGAACUGACACUGAGGCGCGAAAGCGUGGGGAGCAAACAGGAUUAGAUACCCUGGUAGUCAAGGGCG
This 301-nucleotide ribosomal RNA is filed under the name uncultured Bacillus sp. RNAcentral's name for it is "bacterial SSU rRNA". It matches the Rfam family "Bacterial small subunit ribosomal RNA", at positions 505 to 802 of the family's 1533-position model. Lineage: Bacteria; Bacillati; Bacillota; Bacilli; Caryophanales; Bacillaceae. The record is from RNAcentral.